GACGAACUGUCCUAACGUUGUUCGGAAUCACUGGGCUUAAAGGGCGCGUAGGCGGUCCAUCAAGUCAGGGGUGAAAUCCUGCAGCUUAACUGUAGAAGUGCCUUUGAUACUGAUGGUCUGGAGGGAGAUAGGGGUGUGUGGAACUGCGAGUGUAGAGGUGAAAUUCGUAGAUAUUCGCAAGAACACCAGUGGCGAAGGCGGCUCACUGGCCCGAUACUGACGCUGAGGCACGAAAGCGUGGGGAGCAAACAGG
Molecule: ribosomal RNA, 253 nt
Filed under: uncultured bacterium
Lineage: Bacteria
Description: partial 16S ribosomal RNA
Rfam family: Bacterial small subunit ribosomal RNA
Source: RNAcentral